GCCCGGGUGGUGGAACGGAAGACACGGGCGGCUUAAACCCGCCUGCUCCGCAAGGGGCGUGAGGGUUCGACUCCCUCCCCGGGCA
RNAcentral lists this transfer RNA (85 nucleotides) under Actinomycetota bacterium. RNAcentral describes it as "Actinobacteria bacterium (freshwater metagenome) tRNA-Leu". It matches the Rfam family "tRNA". From Rfam's summary of the family: Transfer RNA (tRNA) molecules are approximately 80 nucleotides in length. Their secondary structure includes four short double-helical elements and three loops (D, anti-codon, and T loops). Further hydrogen bonds mediate the characteristic L-shaped molecular structure. tRNAs have two regions of fundamental functional importance: the anti-codon, which is responsible for specific mRNA codon recognition, and the 3' end, to which the tRNAs corresponding amino acid is attached (by aminoacyl-tRNA synthetases). tRNAs cope with the degeneracy of the genetic code in two manners: having more than one tRNA (with a specific anti-codon) for a particular amino acid; and 'wobble' base-pairing, i.e. permitting non-standard base-pairing at the 3rd anti-codon position. The record is from RNAcentral. Lineage: Bacteria; Bacillati; Actinomycetota.